CACCAAAGGAGGUGGGGAAAGACUGAAAGGAACACAGAGACUCUGUGAAGCAGUCACUCCCAGGCAGGGCUGUCAAAGAGGAAACCACCUCAGAGGCAGCCAGACUACAGCACGGCGCACAAUCAAAUGAUACAGCACAUAACUGCUCCGUGUGAAAAGAGAACAAGCCUGAGGACCACACUAAGGAAAGAGACAUGAAAAAAGGAAGAAAAGAUUAAAAAGGAGUGUGAAGGACAACAGAAGAGCAGUGACUGGGAUUUGGUUUUUCUGUGCAGACCAUCAUCAGUGCCUGAAUUACACUGCGAACCCUAACUGCAACCUGACUGCUAAUCUCUGGCAGUGUCUGAGCACCACCUGUGGGUGACGUGCUGCUCAUUCCAACAACAAACUAACACGCUGACUAAUUCAGCAGGUAAGAACGCAUUCAUCACCGUCUCCUCCUCCUCAUCAACUGGUCCGCUUACGUCUGCUUUAUAACUUCCACCAGUUACACUGGGUUCGGCUGAGUGUGUGAAAACAACAAAGACUCACACUGGAUGGAUGCUAGAGAAGAGACACUGUACCUGCUGAGCAGGAUGUGGGUCAAGCUGAAGGGUCUGCCCAACGCCCACCCUGUCGAACUGGGAGCUUUCUUUAUCCUCUUAACCUUCAUCUUGAUGGUGCUGCUCAUGUCAGUUAUAACUUGCCUGACCUGUUGCUGCUUUCGCAAGACCAAGGUGAAAGGGUCAAACAUUUGAGCAAAUCUGCACAGGCAAUCCCUGGACAUCUAACUCUCAAACCAAGCACCUAAACACUGGAAGCUUCACUGCAAAGCGUCCUCAACAAUGCAUAAAAGGCUUCCUCUGCAGCUCUCUCAAGCAAGCACCAUGGAAUAAAAACUUGGUCUGAGAGACAUGGUAUUAUAAUUAAAUAAAGCAGAGAUCCAAGAUUCAACUCAGUGAAGCCUGAUACAGGGUGUGUUCAGCAGCAGUGAAGAGGCCCAACCCUCACAUAACAAAGGACAUAACAAACAGAGGAGGAUGUCCUGCCACUUUCCUAAAGCGGCCAGACUUUCAGGAGGAUCUGCAUUCCUCAGAGCAUCCCUGCACUUUAAAGGACAACAAAAGCACCUCAGAGAAAGGCAGGGCCAUCCCCAACUGUGUUUAAUAAUGUAGAAAAAAAAUACACCGAAUAUAAGAGAUUAAACAUGUAGAACGAUAAAAACAAACUGCAGAGCGAGCUGCAUGGUGAGAUGAUGGGGAAAGCUGAACCGAUUCAUUAAUGUUUUUCUAAACUUGUCUAUGUGUCAUUCUUAAAGAAUGAGAAGUAGCAGCCAGACACAAGAGUUACAGUAGGUACGAUCCUUCUGAGGCAAAGCUGUUCUCAAACCAAAGUCUCCCUUGACACACUGUAAGACUAGUCCACCCUCUGCUGUACAUAAACUGAAAUAGCAUGUAAAUAAUGAAAGUUAUGUUUAGUGUGCAUAACUGCAUGUUGUAUUUGUGCAAAGGGGAAAGACAUUAUUGACACUUAGUGUUCCACUUACUUUGAUUUGUAUGCAAUAAACAAAAGAUGACUGUGUGCAC
This is a long non-coding RNA of Monopterus albus (swamp eel), 1565 nucleotides long. RefSeq lists it as uncharacterized. NCBI's taxonomy places the organism in Eukaryota, Metazoa, Chordata, Actinopteri, Synbranchiformes, Synbranchidae. The record is from RefSeq and is a predicted model, not a curated record. The transcript has 3 exons.